AGACUAGGGCUGCAUUUAUUUGGGGUGUGAGUGGCACGCUGUAGGCUGUGGGACGGUCGGGACAGCGAGAGGUGCCGCUGCUGAGGUGUGGUUGGGUUUCCAGAAAGAGGGAAGCAUAGAUAGGAAGGUGGAGGAGGAGGAAAUAUGUAAAAAAAAAAAAAAAAGUGGGAGAGAUGGAAGGAUUGGUCAUGCGCAAGACCGCAGGCCGUUGGAGGCAGCUUAGAAAUCUCUUACAUCUGGAACAGCCAUAAUUCGUGGGAUUUGGCCUGACAGCCAUGACAGGCGUUGAGGCGGCCAGCAACAACUGUCUCCUGUGUGAAACUCCAAAAUAGAAUAUGCUGCAUUUAUGUCACUAACUCGCUCUGAAAGGUGAAGCUAAUCUAUGAGACAUAAAGAAGAAGCUCAAAUUGAUGCUUUUCAUUUCCAUGAAUUGUGACAAAAUUCUGAUUGUAAAACAGAAAAAUUAAAUAUCCUUAAUGUGAAUAAAGAGAUGAGCGCUUUUCUACUGUU
Long non-coding RNA from Nothobranchius furzeri (turquoise killifish), 510 nucleotides. RefSeq lists it as uncharacterized. The record is from RefSeq and is a predicted model, not a curated record. NCBI's taxonomy places the organism in Eukaryota, Metazoa, Chordata, Actinopteri, Cyprinodontiformes, Nothobranchiidae.